UACAGAGGUCCCAAGCGUUGUUCGGAUUUAUUGGGCGUAAAGGGUGCGUAGGCGGCGGAGUAAGUUGGGUGUGAAAUCCCGGGGCUCAACCUCGGAAUGGCAUUCAAUACUGCUUCGCUAGAGUACUGGAGAGGAGGCUGGAAUUUACGGUGUAGCAGUGAAAUGCGUAGAUAUCGUAAGGAAGGCCGGUGGCGAAAGCGAGCCUCUGGGCCGUAACUGACGCUGAGGAGCGAAAGCGUGGGGAGCGAACAGG
Molecule: ribosomal RNA, 253 nt
Filed under: uncultured bacterium
Lineage: Bacteria
Description: partial 16S ribosomal RNA
Rfam family: Bacterial small subunit ribosomal RNA
Source: RNAcentral